GCUCAGGAUGAACGCUGGCGGCGUGCUUAACACAUGCAAGUCGAACGGUGAACACGGAGCUUGCUCUGUGGGAUCAGUGGCGAACGGGUGAGUAACACGUGAGCAACCUGCCCCUGACUCUGGGAUAAGCGCUGGAAACGGCGUCUAAUACUGGAUAUGUGACGUGACCGCAUGGUCUGCGUUUGGAAAGAUUUUUCGGUUGGGGAGGGGCUCGCGGCCUAUCAGCUUGUUGGUGAGGUAAUGGCUCACCAAGGCGUCGACGGGUAGCCGGCCUGAGAGGGUGACCGGCCACACUGGGACUGAGACACGGCCCAGACUCCUACGGGAGGCAGCAGUGGGGAAUAUUGCACAAUGGGCGAAAGCCUGAUGCAGCAACGCCGCGUGAGGGAUGACGGCCUUCGGGUUGUAAACCUCUUUUAGCAGGGAAGAAGCGAAAGUGACGGUACCUGCAGAAAAAGCGCCGGCUAACUACGUGCCAGCAGCCGCGGUAAUACGUAGGGCGCAAGCGUUAUCCGGAAUUAUUGGGCGUAAAGAGCUCGUAGGCGGUUUGUCGCGUCUGCUGUGAAAUCCCGAGGCUCAACCUCGGGCCUGCAGUGGGUACGGGCAGACUAGAGUGCGGUAGGGGAGAUUGGAAUUCCUGGUGUAGCGGUGGAAUGCGCAGAUAUCAGGAGGAACACCGAUGGCGAAGGCAGAUCUCUGGGCCGUAACUGACGCUGAGGAGCGAAAGGGUGGGGAGCAAACAGGCUUAGAUACCCUGGUAGUCCACCCCGUAAACGUUGGGAACUAGUUGUGGGGUCCAUUCCACGGAUUCCGUGACGCAGCUAACGCAUUAAGUUCCCCGCCUGGGGAGUACGGCCGCAAGGCUAAAACUCAAAGGAAUUGACGGGGACCCGCACAAGCGGCGGAGCAUGCGGAUUAAUUCGAUGCAACGCGAAGAACCUUACCAAGGCUUGACAUAUACGAGAACGGGCCAGAAAUGGUCAAC
RNAcentral lists this ribosomal RNA (985 nucleotides) under Microbacterium paraoxydans. Its description in RNAcentral is "bacterial SSU rRNA". It matches the Rfam family "Bacterial small subunit ribosomal RNA", at positions 22 to 1014 of the family's 1533-position model. Lineage: Bacteria; Bacillati; Actinomycetota; Actinomycetes; Micrococcales; Microbacteriaceae. The record is from RNAcentral.